AUUGAACGCUGGCGGCAUGCCUUACACAUGCAAGUCGAACGGUAGAGUAGCAAUACUUGAGAGUGGCGAACGGGUGAGUAAUAUAUCGGAACGUGCCCAGUCGUGGGGGAUAACGUAGAGAAAUUUACGCUAAUACCGCAUACGAUCUAAGGAUGAAAGCGGGGGAUUCGCAAGAACCUCGCGCGAUUGGAGCGGCUGAUAUCAGAUUAGGUUGUUGGUGAGGUAAAAGCUCACCAAGCCGACGAUCUGUAGCUGGUUUGAGAGGACGACCAGCCACACUGGGACUGAGACACGGCCCAGACUCCUACGGGAGGCAGCAGUGGGGAAUUUUGGGACAAUGGGCGCAAGCCUGAUCCAGCAAUGCCGCGUGCAGGAUGAAGGCC
Molecule: ribosomal RNA, 383 nt
Filed under: uncultured bacterium
Lineage: Bacteria
Description: bacterial SSU rRNA
Rfam family: Bacterial small subunit ribosomal RNA
Source: RNAcentral